Molecule: long non-coding RNA, 5698 nt
Organism: Panthera uncia (snow leopard)
Lineage: Eukaryota; Metazoa; Chordata; Mammalia; Carnivora; Felidae
Exons: 2
Source: RefSeq, a predicted model, not a curated record
UCAAUCCCAUGUAAAUUUUCUGCACUUGAAUUUGUUUGCUCCUCUUAAGAGCAACCCCUGCCCCAUGUGCUUAACCACAAACCAACACUUCCUGCCUUAACUUCCCUGUUAGUACAAUAUUUGAUGAAGGUUAAGUUUCAAGAACCCCCUCCCCUACCAGUUUUCAGCUCCCCACCUCCUACUCUCCACAGCCACCUAUCCCAGGCGUCUCUGCAUUUAAAAGUUCUGCCCACCCAUCCCUCCCCAGAUACAUUUCUGACUUAGUCUUAGAGCAUCUUCCUAUUAUGAUACUCCUCUCCCCCUAUUGCAAGAACCCCCUUCAUAUGAACAUAGUAACAUCCUUCAUAGUAACAUCCAUUGCAUUUUUUUUCUUUCACAGGGAUGACGCUGUAACUCUGACAGAAUGUCAGAUGCCCCCAGGACCUUGCUUUCUUCACCCAGGCGUCAAUGCCAUCUGAUCAGAUGCUGGCUCCUUUCCUGGCUGGGGAAGUUGGGAUCCACAGUGGUGGUUUUAUGUUACUCUGAUGCUUCCCGAAGAGCCCUUGCAAAUCAGCUACCGACUGAGUGCUCUGUCUUCAACAAAAAAGGAUUAUCUUAGAGACCCGUGGAAGCAGACUAUGCCAGCCAGGUACUCUUGGGUAAGGCUUCUGAUGGCACUGCUUAAAUAACUUUGGGACCACCCUGGUAGACUAAGUCAGGAUUUCUAGAACUCUAGGGGAGAAUAUAGAUUUAUGGACUAUUAAUCCAAGAUCAAAUGGAACAAGAAUUAUUACAUAGGACUGAAUGAACUGAUCAUUCAUGAUUAUGGGCUUUGUUUGGAACAGUGCUGAUGCUCUCGUGUUCUAUUUUCUGGAUGUAAGGAUGCACUUUCUCUCUUCUCUCAAGCUAUCUAGCACUCACAACAAUUUAGUAGACUGUGCUCUUGUGAAACACAAAGGAAACAUUCCUCUUCUCUGCCCUGCCUCACCCUUCCAAAUUCUGGGAAGUCUCGUGGAGUAUUCCUGUUUUCGUGGCACUGUAGUUAUUUGCAUAGAUUCAGUAAGAGCCUGUCCACCUUGUUAAUAGGACAUAACUGGAAGCAUUGGUUAAUCAAGGCUGGCUCUGCCUAUAAUGUCACAGUUGAGAAUGACGCUCGUUUCGUCAGAUGUGACCAGAUGCUUUUCAGCAAUUAAGGUUGACAUGAUGGGCCAAUGCUUACAAAGUCCGUCUUGGGAAAACUGGCCUGGCAACCGGCUUUAUAGGGUUCCCAGCCUUAUAGGUGAGCAAGGAAGGUCACUUCCUGGCAGGCUCAGGAAUCCUAGGCUAUUUUGAGGACCUCAGGAAGAGAGGAAUGCCCACCAAAUCACUAGGUACUACAGGUGGAAAAUGAUGGUGAAGGUUUGGCUUGGCUUCCUAGCCUCAAGAGGCUCUGAAAAGUCCAAUCUGAGAUUCUUUCUGAAAGCAUCCAGAGAAGCCAGUAUAAGACCUACGUGGUACCACGUCGUUCUUGCUGCAUCUAUGUAAAUAACCAGGCCACCUCCAGUGAGACCAGCCUUAUUUUGUGACCAAGAGUCAUCUUUCUUUGAGAUUGUCUUUGAUCAAGAGGGGAAAGGGACUGUAGAGAGCCUUUGGUGUUUCAAUGGGAAACUAUAGUAUGCUCUUUUGGAUUACCGGAUUCUGACCCUAUUCAUUGCCUUUGAGCUAUUUUGCACCUCUGUAAACUGCAGGUAGCUGAUUGAUAUGCAAACUCUAUCUCGUCUUAUAGACACUUAAUUAGCUUCUUUUCCCACUGUAGAUAAACUAGUGGUGAUACCUACUUAUAAAUCAGAUUUGAAUCUUUUACUUUAGAGAGAUUGUCAGCCCUUACCAAAUUUUCAAUUCUUGCAGAUUCCUUCAAUACCUGGCUAUAACUUUUCAAACUAACCUGUACAACUUUUCUCCCUUUUUCCUGACUUCAAGUCACUGAGAACCAAAACAUGAUUUCCCAGAUCCUUAUUCGGACUCUAGGUUGCUUUGUCACUGGCCUUUUCCCCCAGGAUCUGAAGAAACACUGCAGCAGUCCAGGCGUGAACCUGGUUGCUCUCUGGACAAGCUGCUGUCUGGGUCACUAAGAAAGUCUGGUGAAAUGCUCAGGUCAUGUGUCCCCUGAUAAGGGAGAUAACCCGAGCUCUGAGUAGCAUAAUUAAGAUCACGAUACGACUCAGGGAGCAGUGCUGCACAAUGAAACGAUUUCAUCCACUGACCUCCUGAGUUUCACUAGAUUGGAUACUCUUAGGGUUUGACUUCUGGCUCUUUAAUACAUUCCUUUGUGCUAACAUUUAUCUUUUUUUUAAUUUUAGGCAUCCCAUUUAAGAACACUGAAACAAUUGACCUCUGCCUGCACUCCAAACAGAUGAUUCAAUUGGUCUUCUAGGGUCAUCACUGAGAAUAUGGUGGCCCUGAGGUCUAUCUCACUCAGCCAUCCGCUGUUUGAGUUAUUCCUUAUCCUUGAAUUGUCCAUGAAGAGUCUCUCUGAGCCCACCUUGAACAAAGAGAGGGACUGACAAGGCUGAGGCAACUUUAUGCUUCAUAUAAGUUUAGGCUGCUUUGCUGAGAACCACUAGGUCCCAACUCUGCAAACUUUCUGCACUUUUGCUUGUUUACUUCAACUGAGACCAGAAUCCCAAGUCCUUGGGCCCGAGGACACAACUUUCCUGCCUCAACUUUUCUACUAGUACAACACUGGAUGCAGUUCAUUAUGUUUCAAGGCACCUUCCGCACACCAGCUGUUAGCAUGGCGUCCUUCUGCUUUGCACAGGCACCUAUCCCAGGGUCUCUGCUUACAGAAACUUUGCUUGUCCCCCCCGCUCCCCCCCCCCCCCCCCCCCACCUGCCUGACACUGCUCUGGCUCAGGCUUUGAGCAUCUCUCUGCAAUAGUCUCAUUCAAUAAUACCUCUCCUUACUCGGGUCCAGACUUAACUUUUUUUUUUUUUCUUGACAAUUUCUUCGGCAAAAGAUAUCAUUUAGGAUUUGAUUUUUGGAAAGUAAAAUACAAAAAGUAGUCAGGAAAUUUGAACACUUGAUUAAAUAGGACAGUGGAUUACUGAGAAAUAAUAGUUGGUUACCUAAUUAGCCAAAAUGAAGAUAUAAAUUUAAAAGUAGGCAUAGAAGGGACGUGACUAUAAAGAACUCCAGUUCUUUUCAAGUGAAAAGACUUUGUUCUCUCGAGUAAUUGAAGAUAUGAUAAAGUCAACACAAAGUAUAGGAAAUGAGUCUAAUAAGACCCUGAAUAGUUGUUUUCUAGGCAGAUUAUUCUAAAGGUAAAGAAAAAUAUUUUUUACAAGCACUUAUUAAGAAAACACCAGUAAUCCAAGGAAAAAAAAUGUCAUUUUAAUAGAAAGAAAACCAAAUGCUAGUUUUGAAACAGCAUAUUUGGUACUAACACUCUUAUUAAAAAUCUUAUAUUUAAAUUAAAAAAAAAGAAAUGGAAAAAAAGAUUCAUAAAAACAAUCUUAUAAAUAAGCCCAUCAGCCUUAGCCAGCUUUGACUCUAAGAAAUACAAUUCCUUUUCCAUGAACCAUCUACAACUUUCUCUAUCCAGACAAGUUUGUCAUACACUUGUCUCUCAUUUGGGAAGCAGUUAUUUUACUUUGGAACAAAGCUACUCUUGUUUUUCUUAACGAAAUACCCCCUGCACACUUCAUGUGCAAAGUUGCUCCUCUCUGCUACUAUCACUCCUGUUAGAGUCUCAUUCACAUAUAUUGAUUCUAAGUUUUCACUACAGCCACUUCUACUGCAUAUAGAAAACCAGGAGACGGUGUAAGAGAAGAGUUAUUCCCAGGGAAUGUGUUAAAGCCGCGAGGCAGAUCUUAUUAGAACUACUGCAGUAGAGGAGAGAGACUUUGGUAUCCCAUUCCCAUGCAGCACAGACAGCUGGAGAUCUCAGCCAAGGGGCCAGGGAGGGGGUGAGUGGAUAGGAAAUUACUAAGAAGAACUUGGUUAGAUACCAAAGUAGGGGGAUUCCUGCUAAACUGGCUGAACAGGAUUCUUACUAAAAGCAGGUGCCAAGGACUUAGAUAUCUAGGGCAGGGUAUGAGGAGCUUGAUCAGAUAUCAAGGAUGAUCCCAUAUAAAGGGGGGCAAGUGUCAAUUAACUAGCUUAGGAUUCAUUGCUAAAGUGGGGGCUCAGCAGGCCAAGGUCGAGCCUAGUCUAGAAGAAGGCUCACAGGAGCCUAACUAAAGUUUGGACAAGGAAAGAGUAUCUGCUAGUAAAUAACUGUAAACUGUCUUUCAUAUACCAGUAUUUUCUAGCAGACUAGCAAAGUUUAUAAAUAUACAUCUCAACAUCUCAUAAUUUUUAUAGUCAUAAGCGUUCCUUAUAGGUACAGCUUCUCAAUGUGGCAAAAAUGAACAUGUGCAUUAACAGACCCAAAUAGAUAGCCUCUCUGUAUUAUAUAAAAGUAAAAGUCCAAAAGUAUAUAAAAUGAAAUUGUAUUCAGCAAUUAAUGCGUCAAUUUUUUCUCUUACUUAGAUAGGAUUUAGGUGUCUAAUGAAUAUUCAUAAAUUAAGUCAAUUUAGCAUCAGUCCAAGGUUUUAAGCUACCAAUUCAUUUUGGACACUGUCUUUAAGCUGACAUACUGCAAAAUAUAAUUACUUUGAAAUAAAGUUUGUCCAAAUAAUGACUUAAUUUGACUAAUACAAAUGUACAUUUUUAUAAUCUUAAAAUAUAGUAACUGAAAUGAUAGUGUAUUAAAUCAGCCAAACUUUAUAAAUUGAGGAAAAACAUGCUUGCAUAAAAUUAAAAUAUAUGUUUCUAUUACAUUUAAUGCUGACAACUCAGAAGAUAUAGCUGUUUUUAUUAAACCAAUAAUAUUAAAUUAGUCUCAUUUGCUAGAGUUACCUAAAUUAUGUAAACUUGAAUUCUUAGAACAUUUGAAUUACUGCCUAUAAGAAUGUAUUUUGAGGACAUUGAAAGUAUUAGAAAUUUAAUUUUUUCAAUAUCUGGGAAUUUUUAGGAAUAGUCCUUUAUUUGUAUAUGCCUUUAGCUAACUCUAAGUCAAUUAGAAUAAAACUCUUUAACAAUUUUGUUAUAAUCUAAUUUAGUAAUACCAUCUGGAAGUAGGAAAAUAUUACAUAUCUAUAGACACAUAAACAUACAUAAAAACCUAGAAAACUUAUAGCUUCUAUUCCAAAAUUUUAGCCCAUACAUCAGGGGUAAACCUAAAAAUACAAAACUCAUUUUUCAUAUAAAAAGAGCUCUUCUCUAAUGGGUACAAAUUCUUAGUUGGUUUGAGUUCAAAAUUGGGGAAAAAUGAACAAACAAACAGAAAAGAGUAACAAACAUGAUUUUCUGUCAUCUUUCAUUCAAAAGAGAAAAAUAUCUAUAAGCCAUUUAAUUCACUUACAGAGAUAGCCAAAUUAUCUAACUACAAAACAAAACAAAACAAAACAAAAAAAUCCAUCACCAGAAAUCAACCAAAGACUCAAAAAAAAAAAAAAAAAUCAAAAUCAAAUUCUUACCAUGCUUCCAACAGACAAGAGUCUGGACAUAGGACCAGGAUCAGGACUCACCUUUAGUCCCCUGGGUUGCCAGCCAGGAAUGGAGCACAAAAGGCUCCAGAUGGCCUUAUUACCUGGCUGGAGCAGAUGGGAAUCUGGAGGCAAGGUGCCAUCCUGAGGCAAACUGUCAAAGACAAAAACCAGACAAGUUAGGAGACCAAAAUGAGGGAGACUAUCACAA